RNAcentral lists this ribosomal RNA (465 nucleotides) under Vreelandella stevensii. RNAcentral's name for it is "partial 16S ribosomal RNA". It matches the Rfam family "Bacterial small subunit ribosomal RNA", at positions 338 to 795 of the family's 1533-position model. Lineage: Bacteria; Pseudomonadati; Pseudomonadota; Gammaproteobacteria; Oceanospirillales; Halomonadaceae. The record is from RNAcentral.
CCUACGGGAGGCUGCAGUGGGGAAUAUUGGACAAUGGGCGAAAGCCUGAUCCAGCCAUGCCGCGUGUGUGAAGAAGGCCUUCGGGUUGUAAAGCACUUUCAGUGGGGAAGAAAGCCUUGGGGCUAAUACCCUCGAGGAAGGACAUCACCCACAGAAGAAGCACCGACUAACUCCGUGCCAGCAGCCGCGGUAAUACGGAGGGUGCGAGCGUUAAUCGGAAUUACUGGGCGUAAAGCGCGCGUAGGCGGUCUGAUAAGCCGGUUGUGAAAGCCCCGGGCUCAACCUGGGAACGGCAUCCGGAACUGUCAGGCUAGAGUGCAGGAGAGGAAGGUAGAAUUCCCGGUGUAGCGGUGAAAUGCGUAGAGAUCGGGAGGAAUACCAGUGGCGAAGGCGGCCUUCUGGACUGACACUGACGCUGAGGUGCGAAAGCGUGGGUAGCAAACAGGAUUAGAUACCCUUGUAGUC